Molecule: long non-coding RNA, 919 nt
Filed under: Pan paniscus (pygmy chimpanzee)
Lineage: Eukaryota; Metazoa; Chordata; Mammalia; Primates; Hominidae
Description: lncRNA (ENSPPAG00000044434.1)
Source: RNAcentral
GUAGGAUCAAAGAAUAGAAGGGGAAAAAAUGAGGAGUGGAAAAGCUCGAUUUAACCUUUAAGUACAGAUAACUAUCAGGGUACAAAAAAGGCAAGAAAACAUGACAAAAUGAAAGGAUUAUUGAUGGGCAAUAAAGGAAGCGUAGUAGGUUUACCUUGAGAUUUCACUGAGCUAAUAUACUGGCUCCCAUUUCUAUGUUUAUUGUAGGAAAAAGAGAAAAACACUAAUCCAGGGAUAGAGCUGACUAGGGAUGCCCAAGUCAAAAAGACUUUGUAGCACUGGGCUUGGCAGAGGGUCCUGAAGCUAAAUGCAGAAGACUGUGGGAAAUGUCUUCAACUGGGGCUAAAGGUCGUAAGCAAGGACAAUGAACCUGGAAUUCGGAGGAAUUCAUACUCCAGUGAAGAAUUUCCAGACCCCUCAUGAGAAUAGCAGAUUGCCUACUCACCAGAGAAUACUCAAGCUGAAACUAAGCAGCCCCUGGAGAGUAAGCAAAUGAUUAGAAGGGUAGAUUUCAGGCAAGCAAAAGGGAGAGAGCCCAGAAUCUCCAUGUGAAUGACCCUAAAAUUACAGCUAAUAUAGGAAGUGGCUUCCUUGUACCUCUAGAAAUUGAACUCUCAGAACCUGACUGACAGUCUGCUCUUAAGAACAUUACCUCAAUCUGGAGAGAAAUGUGUGUUUCUUCUAUAUGGAUUUCAGACAGAAGCAGAAGGAGGCUUAGAGGUUCUUUGUCACAAGUUGCCAAAAUGAAACAGAACUGUGAAAAGAAAAUGGAGAUGCUUCUUCAGGAGGUGCCCGUGAUGUGAUUUACUUGAUGAUUAUGGCCUGCAGGGUAUUGAGAUGGGAUUGUGGAACUUAAAUAAACUGGAUAUGAGUAGAGAUCUGAAAGGUUUUUCAAAAACAUUCAGCUUUACUUUUUUUU